CAUCUAAGCGGGAAGCGAGCCCURAGAUGAGUCUUCCCUGAUACUUUAAGUAUCCUAAAGGGUUGUCGGAGACUACGACGUUGAUAGGUCAGGUGUGUAAGUGCUGUGAGGCAUUGAGCUAACUGAUACUAAUUGCCCGUGAGGCUUAASCAUACAACACCCAAGGGGUUU
Molecule: ribosomal RNA, 171 nt
Filed under: Vibrio parahaemolyticus
Lineage: Bacteria; Pseudomonadati; Pseudomonadota; Gammaproteobacteria; Vibrionales; Vibrionaceae
Description: partial 23S ribosomal RNA
Rfam family: Bacterial large subunit ribosomal RNA (bases 1-153)
Source: RNAcentral